ACAACAACAACAAUAACAGCCGACGAAAAAAAAAAAAAAAACACGUANNNGGCGGUUAAACCCGACUAAUUUUUUUUUUUUU
Molecule: non-coding RNA, 82 nt
Organism: Cinara cedri
Lineage: Eukaryota; Metazoa; Arthropoda; Insecta; Hemiptera; Aphididae
Source: the annotation of a GenBank genome assembly